This 400-nucleotide ribosomal RNA is filed under the name uncultured bacterium. RNAcentral's name for it is "bacterial SSU rRNA". It matches the Rfam family "Bacterial small subunit ribosomal RNA", at positions 359 to 776 of the family's 1533-position model. The record is from RNAcentral.
GAAUCUUGGACAAUGGGGGCAACCCUGAUCCAGCCAUGCCGCGUGAGCGAUGAAGGCCUUAGGGUUGUAAAGCUCUUUCAGCGGGGAAGAUAAUGACGGUACCCGCCGAAGAAGCCCCGGCUAACUCCGUGCCAGCAGCCGCGGUAAUACGGAGGGGGCUAGCGUUGUUCGGAAUUACUGGGCGUAAAGCGCACGUAGGCGGAUAGUUAAGUCGGGGGUGAAAUCCCGGGGCUCAACCCCGGAACUGCCUUCGAUACUGGCCGUCUGGAGGUCGAGAGAGGUGAGUGGAAUUCCGAGUGUAGAGGUGAAAUUCGUAGAUAUUCGGAGGAACACCAGUGGCGAAGGCGGCUCACUGGCUCGAUUCUGACGCUGAGGUGCGAAAGCGUGGGGAGCAAACAGG